Molecule: transfer RNA, 72 nt
Organism: Ovis aries (sheep)
Lineage: Eukaryota; Metazoa; Chordata; Mammalia; Artiodactyla; Bovidae
Rfam family: tRNA
About the family: Transfer RNA (tRNA) molecules are approximately 80 nucleotides in length. Their secondary structure includes four short double-helical elements and three loops (D, anti-codon, and T loops).
Source: Rfam
UCCCUAGCGGCUCAGACGGUAGAGAAUCUGCCUGCAACGCAGGAGACCCAGGUUCAAUUCCUGGGUUGGGAA